AGCUUUGUGCGGUGGCAGUAUCAUAGCCGAUGAGGUUUAUCUGAGGCGUGAUUAUUGCUAAUUGAAAUGAAAUAAAGAUUAUUUGCCGGCCUCAAGGGAUUAUUUUUAAAAACUGCUUUGUU
This 122-nucleotide small nuclear RNA is filed under the name Zalophus californianus (California sea lion). RNAcentral describes it as "U4 spliceosomal RNA (ENSZCAG00015021412.1)". It matches the Rfam family "U4 spliceosomal RNA". Rfam says of the family: U4 small nuclear RNA (U4 snRNA) is a component of the major U2-dependent spliceosome. The structure of U4 snRNA from yeast and human has been reported. The record is from RNAcentral. Lineage: Eukaryota; Metazoa; Chordata; Mammalia; Carnivora; Otariidae.